CUCCUGUCACUGCAGAACAAGGGUACAUUUCUUAAUAAACAGUGUAUUUGAUGGUAUGUGGAGAGGAAGGGACGGCUAACUCUGUGC
RNAcentral lists this ribosomal RNA (87 nucleotides) under uncultured bacterium. RNAcentral describes it as "partial 16S ribosomal RNA". The record is from RNAcentral.